AUUGCACCACUGCACUCCAGCCUGGCGAAAGAGCGAGACUCCAUCUCAAAAAAAAAAAUAGAUCUCGGUUUGUGCCCAGGUAAGAGAAGGAGCAGACACCACAUUAGAUUCUGGGCUCCUUCACCCAGAAUGGCAGCAACAUAUCUUUGGCUCUAUACAUCUUGUGCUGGCUUCUAGUCUCGUCUCUGACACUAGUUUUCUCUGUGAAUUGUAGGAGACCAAAAUAUGACUGUAGGGGACCAGAAUAUACCACCCUAGCAUAUGCCUCUCUGGCAUAAGGAUUAUUUUGAGUUAAUUAUUUUGAGAAUCUGCAGACACAGGAGAAACUGAAAACAGAGUAGAAGUUACCCUUUCAUAUGGGAAAUUUACAUUUACAAAGGAAAUCUCCCUUUGUAAGGAUGUCUCCCUCUCUGUACCAGGAAGAGAAGGAUGUCUCCAAAUCACUAGAGACUUAUCAAUGGAUAAGCACUGACUUUAAUAUGCAUAGCAAACCUUACCCUUGUUUACUGUGCUUUUCCUGGUCACCUCCCCAUAACUGGCCUCCCUCAUACCCUUCUUUCUUCGUUUCAGCUGAAGAUGGUAUUUCAGCCUGAAUUCUAAACCACUUCCUUGAGAUGUACUCCUUUUUCCCUGGGCAUCUCCCAUGUGUACAUGAGGUAUAGAGGUUAAUAAACUUCUGUUUGUUUUUCUCUUGUUAAUCUGUCUUUUGUUACAGGUGUUCCAGCCAAUGAACCUAAGAAAGGUGGAAGGAAAAGGUAUUUUUCCUCCUCUACAGAAUCUGGAUGACCCAGGGGCUCCUGUCUUCCUUAGUUUCCUAUUUCUAAACAAGGACUUUGAAUAUUGAUGCCUGAGCGUUUUUUCCAAAUUCUUUUCUCACUGAACUCCCUCUGAGCCCUUGCCUCAUGGUGUGGGGCAGUAGAGAACAUGGUGAGAAAAGAAAAAUAGCUCAGAGCGGUCUAAGCCCUGCAAAACUGAUCAGGCCCUGAGAGACAGGAGUUUGGGAAUUCAGUCAUACACAUCCCUCCUCAUACUCCACCCAGGCCCAGGAGCAAUUGUUCAAAGGGAUUCUGUUCCUGACUAGCUGCCUCACCCAUUAUCUUCAGGUUCCUAAAUUUGUGAUACAAAGAAUAGCAAAUGACGAAUGAACAGCUUAUGUUGUUGUUAUUAUUAUUAUUACUUGUUUUUUAGAGACAGGGUCUCACUCUGUUGUCCAGGCUGGAGGGUAGUAGCAUGAUCAUUGCUUACUGAAGCCUCAACCUCCUCUACUCAAGCAAUCCUCCUGCCUCAGCCUCUGGAGUAGCUGGGACUACAGCCAGUUUUUACCUUUAGGGCAACAAUGGGGAAGAGAAUCCUUGAGGUCAAUGACACCAGGACAGCUCAGUUGCAAAUUCCUUGUCCCUUCAUCCUUAGAAAUGCGCCAGUAACCUCUCUGUGCCUACUCGGGCUUGGGAGCCUGCCUGAUUUAAAAAAGAAGGAGAAGGAGAAGGAGAUGAAGAAGGAGAAGGAAGAGGAAGAAAGAAGAGAAAGAAAGAAGAGGAAGAGGAGGAGGAAGAAGAAGAGAAAGAAGAGGAGAAGGAGGAAGAAGGAGGAGGAGGAGGAGGAGGAGAAGAAGAAGGAGAAGGAGAAGGGAAGAAGGAAGAAGAAGAAACAACUUGUCAGACUGAGAGACCUGACUUUUGCUUUGGAAAAUUGGUCCUGGAAGUUCAGAGCAUUUACUGUAAACCUCUCCUGGGUGAUCAGCGAGGAGUUGGGAGCCUCUUGCUCCCAGCAUGUAUGUUGACUCCAAGGGAGGUGGUGAGUUGCUUAAGGCUGGUGGUGGCUAAUCAGGCCCAGAGACAAGGCACCCUGUCUCCCAGGCCAGAUGCUUCUUCUACAGUGUUGUAACUGCAAUAGGUCCAUGGCCUGAUGCAUUCAGCAAGUCACCAUGUAAUUGCCCAGUGGGUUCUUUCUGCCUGCUGCACAGACAAAACCCAUUCACUGAUACUGUGGUAUUAUAGUAAAGAAUUUAAUUAAUGAUAGGCCAGCCACAUGGGAGAACUGGAGAUUGCUCAAAUCAAUCUCCUUGAAGGCUUGGAGGUUAGAAUUGUUCAAGGAUAGUUUGGUGGGCAGGGAACUAAGGAAUGGGUGCUGCUGAUUGGCCAGGGAUGCAAUCACAGUGGGAAACUGUCCUCAUCCACUGUGUCUGCCUCUGUUUGGGGUGAGGGCACAGGACUGGUUGAGUCGUGAAUCAUUAAGUCCAGGUGGGCUCAGUUGGUUGCCAGAAUGCAGAAGUCUGAGAUACAUCUCAGAAGACUAAUCUUAGAUUCUGGGAUCGGUAGUGGUGGUAUCUGUAGGAGCAAUGGGGAAGUCACAAAACUUGUGACCUCUAGCCACAACAAUUCCUUAGCAAUAAGAGAUGAUGGAAACUAUGCCCUACAUUUUUUUUUGUUUUUUUUUGAGACGGAGUCUCACUCUGUCACCCAGGCUGGAGUACAGUGGUGCAAUCUCAGCUCACUGCAACCUCCACCUCCCAGGUUCAAGUGAUUCUCCUGCCUCAGCCUCCCAAGUAGCUGGGACUACAGGCAUGAGCCACCAUGCCCGGCUAAUUUUUUUUUUUUUUGUAUUUUUAGUACAGACAGGGUUUCACCCCGCUGGCCAGGCUGGUCUCAAACUCCUUACCUCGUAAACUGCUGCCUCAGCCUCCCAAAGUGAUGGGAUUACAGGCAUGAGCCAACGUGCCCGGCCCCGCCCUACAUUUAAGCAGAAUUCAGGCCCCUUCUAUAUUUGUAAUCUUGUGGCCUUCCAUUGGUCUUACAAAGGCAGUUUCAGCCCCCUAACAAGGAGGGGAUCAGUUUUAGAGAGGGACUAUUAUCAUCCUUUCUUCAAAGUUAAACUGUAAACUAAAUUCCUCCCAUGGUUAGCUUGGCCUAUGCCCAGGAAUGAGUGAGGACAGCCAGCCUGGGGGGCUAGAAGCAAGAGGGAGUCAGCCUUGCUAGACUUCUCUCACUGUCAUAAUCUUUGCAAAGGCAAUUUUAAAUAUGCCCAAGACACCAGACUGCAGCAGAGAAAGAGGUUUAAUUGUAGGGCCACCAAACAAGGAGACAGGAGGAAACCUCAAAUCCGACUCUCUGAGGAGUUUGGGGAUAGUGUCUUUAAGGGUUUUGGAGUGUGCCAAAGUGUGGAGAUUGUUGAUUGGUCAAAGAGUGCAGGUUGGAGCCAUAAGACAGGCAGGUGAAGAAACUGUAUUCUCAUAUUGAUUCUGUUCUUCUCUGGGGGUCUUCAAACUGGUUGGCAUAAGCUGUCUUACUGGAAUUGGGGAUCUGAAAGACAUUGUAAGCAAUUUUUAAAUGAGAGCCCUGUGAUUCUAAUGUCAGAGAUCCUAUCUAGCUUAAACAAAAGUCUUGUGGUUCUAACAUCAGAAAUCCUAUCUAUAGGAACCAUGGGGAUGCAAACGGCCAGUAUCUAUCUAGUCCUACCAUGACUGUUGGUUACAAGGAAGCUGGUCAAAGUGCGGCCUGAUUAAUGCUUAAUCAUAACCAUAUUUCUGUUCAGAAUUCUUGUUAACCCUGUGAAGACAGCUUCAAUGUCACAGAGCUGCCUGUAGGAAUGAACGCCUUACACUUCAGACCUGGCCCUCUUCACCUGCCCUUUCCAUGCUGCCAACAGGGCCUUCCAGUGGCAGCGGUGACCAGUCACUGGGAAAGCCCAGCUGAGUCAAUGUUUGCUGGCUAACUGCAGAAGGAAUGAUGAACUGGUCCCCAUGAAUGGAGAGGUCCAACACAAAGCUAUGCUAAUUUUUCAUAAGCUCUGCCUGCCGCCUUUUAUAUAUCAACCUGAAAUGUAAUUAUCUUUAUGGCUGGUGGAGUAAAUCACCAGUAUGUGUCAAAGA
Long non-coding RNA from Homo sapiens (human), 3868 nucleotides. RefSeq lists it as uncharacterized. The record is from RefSeq and is a predicted model, not a curated record. Lineage: Eukaryota; Metazoa; Chordata; Mammalia; Primates; Hominidae. The transcript has 2 exons.